Podarcis lilfordi (Lilford's wall lizard) is the source of this 87-nucleotide non-coding RNA. Lineage: Eukaryota; Metazoa; Chordata; Lepidosauria; Squamata; Lacertidae. The record is from the annotation of a GenBank genome assembly.
AAACACACACACACACACACACACACAUAUAUAUAUAUAUGUAUGUAUAUGUGUGUGUGUGUGUGUGUGUGUGUGUGGUGUGUGUGU